This 741-nucleotide ribosomal RNA is filed under the name uncultured Bacteroidales bacterium. RNAcentral describes it as "bacterial SSU rRNA". It matches the Rfam family "Bacterial small subunit ribosomal RNA", at positions 28 to 758 of the family's 1533-position model. Lineage: Bacteria; Pseudomonadati; Bacteroidota; Bacteroidia; Bacteroidales. The record is from RNAcentral.
GAUGAACGCUAGCUACAGGCUUAACACAUGCAAGUCGAGGGGCAGCAUGGUCUUAGCUUGCUAAGGCCGAUGGCGACCGGCGCACGGGUGAGUAACACGUAUCCAACCUGCCGUCUACUCUUGGACAGCCUUCUGAAAGGAAGAUUAAUACAAGAUGGCAUCAUGAGUCCGCAUGUUCACAUGAUUAAAGGUAUUCCGGUAGACGAUGGGGAUGCGUUCCAUUAGAUAGUAGGCGGGGUAACGGCCCACCUAGUCUUCGAUGGAUAGGGGUUCUGAGAGGAAGGUCCCCCACAUUGGAACUGAGACACGGUCCAAACUCCUACGGGAGGCAGCAGUGAGGAAUAUUGGUCAAUGGGCGCAGGCCUGAACCAGCCAAGUAGCGUGAAGGAUGACUGCCCUAUGGGUUGUAAACUUCUUUUAUAAAGGAAUAAAGUCGGGUAUGGAUACCCGUUUGCAUGUACUUUAUGAAUAAGGAUCGGCUAACUCCGUGCCAGCAGCCGCGGUAAUACGGAGGAUCCGAGCGUUAUCCGGAUUUAUUGGGUUUAAAGGGAGCGUAGAUGGAUGUUUAAGUCAGUUGUGAAAGUUUGCGGCUCAACCGUAAAAUUGCAGUUGAUACUGGAUAUCUUGAGUGCAGUUGAGGCAGGCGGAAUUCGUGGUGUAGCGGUGAAAUGCUUAGAUAUCACGAAGAACUCCGAUUGCGAAGGCAGCCUGCUAAGCUGCAACUGACAUUGAGGCUCGAAA